This 475-nucleotide ribosomal RNA is filed under the name uncultured bacterium. RNAcentral's name for it is "bacterial SSU rRNA". It matches the Rfam family "Bacterial small subunit ribosomal RNA", at positions 28 to 530 of the family's 1533-position model. The record is from RNAcentral.
GACUAACGCUGGCGGCGUGCCUAACACAUGCAAGUCGAACGAAGCAGCAAUGCUUAGUGGCAGACGGGUGAGUAACGCGUAGAUAAUGUGCCCUCUUGCGGGGGAUACCGUUUCGAAAGGAACGUUAAUACCGCAUAAAGUCCUUAGAAGGCAUCUUUUAGGGACCAAACUUCCGGGGCGGGAGGAGCAAUCUGCGUACUAUCAGCUAGUUGGUGAGGUAAUGGCUCACCAAGGCUACGACGGUUAACUGGUCUGAGAGGAUGAUCAGUCACACUGGAACUGAGACACGGUCCAGACUCCUACGGGAGGCAGCAGUGAGGAAUAUUGCACAAUGGGCGAAAGCCUGAUGCAGCGACGCCGCGUGGAGGAUGAAGGAUUUCGGUCUGUAAACUCCUGUCAGUAGGGAAGAGAAUGGACGGUACCUACUGAGGAGCUUCGGCUAACUACGUGCCAGCAGCCGCGGUAAGCUACGUGA